AUUGAACGCUGGCGGCAGGCCUAACACAUGCAAGUCGAACGGUAACAGGAAGAAGCUUGCUUCUUUGCUGACGAGUGGCGGACGGGUGAGUAAUGUCUGGGAAACUGCCUGAUGGAGGGGGAUAACUACUGGAAACGGUAGCUAAUACCGCAUAACUUCUCAAGACCAAAGAGGGGGACCUUGGGGCCUCUUUCGAUCGUAUUUGCCCAGGUGGGAUUAGCUAGUAGGUGGGGUAACGGCUCACCUAGGCGACGAUCCCUAGCUGGUCUGAGAGGAUGAUCAGCCACACUGGAACUGAGACACGGUCCAGACUCCUACGGGAGGCAGCAGUGGGGAAUAUUGCACAAUGGGCGCAAGCCUGAUGCAGCCAUGCCGCGUGUAUGAAGAAGGCCUUCGGGUUGUAAAGUACUUUCAGCGGGGAGGAAGGGAGUACAGUUAAUACCGUUGGUCAUUGACGGUACCCGCAGAAGAAGCACCGGCUAACUACGUG
RNAcentral lists this ribosomal RNA (490 nucleotides) under uncultured bacterium. RNAcentral describes it as "partial 16S ribosomal RNA". It matches the Rfam family "Bacterial small subunit ribosomal RNA", at positions 30 to 507 of the family's 1533-position model. The record is from RNAcentral.